GAUGAAGAACGCAGCGAAAUGCGAUAAGUAAUGUGAAUUGCAGAAUUCAGUGAAUCAUCGAAUCUUUGAACGCACAUUGCGCCCGCCAGUAUUCUGGCGGGCAUGACUGUCCGAGCGUCAUUUCAACCCUCGAACCCCUCCGGGGGGUCGGCGUUGGGGACCUCGGGAGCCCCUAAGACGGGAUCCCGGCCCCGAAAUACAGUGGCGGUCUCGCCGCAGCCUCUCCUGCGCAGUAGUUUGCACAACUCGCACCGGGAGCGCGGCGCGUCCACGUCCGUAAAACACCCAACUUCUGAAAUGUUGACCUCGGAUCAGGUAGGAAUACCCGCUGAACUUAAGCAUAUCAAUAAGCGGAGGA
This 358-nucleotide unclassified non-coding RNA is filed under the name soil metagenome. Its description in RNAcentral is "partial contains 5.8S ribosomal RNA, internal transcribed spacer 2, and large subunit ribosomal RNA". The stretch from base 1 to 120 matches the Rfam family "5.8S ribosomal RNA", at positions 35 to 154 of the family's 154-position model. The record is from RNAcentral.